CCUACGGGAGGCUGCAGUGAGGAAUAUUGGUCAAUGGACGCAAGUCUGAACCAGCCAUGCCGCUUGCAGGAAGACGGCUCUAUGAGUUGUAAACUGCUUUUUUACGAGGGUAAACGCAGAUACGCGUAUCUGUCUGAAAGUAUCGUACGAAUAACGAUCGGCUAACUCCGUGCCAGCAGCCGCGGUAAUACGGAGGAUUCAAGCGUUAUCCGGAUUUCUUGGGUUUAGGGGGUUCGUAGGCGGUCGGAUAAGUUAGAGGUAAAAUCCCGGGGCUCAACUUCGGAAUUGCAUCUGAUACUGUUCGGCUAGAGAGUAGUUGCGGUAGGCGGAAUGUAUGGUGUAGCGGGGAAAUGCUUAGAGAUCAUACAGAACACCGAUUGCGAAGGCAGCUUACCAAGCUACUUCUGACGUUGAGGCACGAAAGCGUGGGGAGCAAACAGGAUAGAUACCCGAGUAGUC
RNAcentral lists this ribosomal RNA (459 nucleotides) under uncultured bacterium. RNAcentral describes it as "partial 16S ribosomal RNA". It matches the Rfam family "Bacterial small subunit ribosomal RNA", at positions 338 to 795 of the family's 1533-position model. The record is from RNAcentral.